GCCUAACACAUGCAAGUCGAACGAAGAUUGUAGUAAUACGGUCUUAGUGGCGAACGGGUGAGUAACGCGUGGGUGACCUGCCCCGAAGUGUGGGAUACCAGUCCGAAAGGACUUGCUAAUACUGCAUAACAUCCAGGAGAUUAGAACCUGCUGGAUUAAAGGAUUUUUUCGCUUCGGGAGGGGCCUGCGUCCCAUCAGCUAGUUGGUAAGGUAAUGGCUUACCAAGGCGAUGACGGGUAGGGGACCUGAGAGGGUGACCCCCCACAAUGGAACUGAAACACGGUCCAUACACCUACGGGUGGCAGCAGUAGGGAAUAUUAGUAAUGGGCGAAAGCCUGAACUAGCAACGCCGCGUGUGCGAAGAAGGCCUUCGGGUUGUAAAGCACUUUUUGAGAGGACGAGGAAGGACGGUACUCUCAGAAUAAGUCUCGGCUAACUACGUGCCAGCAGCCGCGGUAAYAMGGCAAUUGUUUAACCUCAGGCNGNCCNUUG
Molecule: ribosomal RNA, 492 nt
Filed under: uncultured bacterium
Lineage: Bacteria
Description: bacterial SSU rRNA
Rfam family: Bacterial small subunit ribosomal RNA
Source: RNAcentral